GCGCAGCAGUCGAGAAUCUUCCCCAAUGGACGAAAGUCUGAGGGAGCGACGCCGCGUGAAUGAAGAAGCCCUUCGGGGUGUAAAAUUCUUUUCUUUAGGAAAAAUUCGUGAUGGGUACUAAAGGAAUAAGGGGCCGCCAAACUCGUGCCAGCAGCGGCGGUAAUACGAGUGCCCCGAGCGUUAUCCGGAAUUACUGGGCGUAAAGCGCUAAAAGGCGGUUUGAUAAGUCAGACGUC
RNAcentral lists this ribosomal RNA (236 nucleotides) under uncultured microorganism. RNAcentral's name for it is "partial 16S ribosomal RNA". It matches the Rfam family "Bacterial small subunit ribosomal RNA", at positions 346 to 596 of the family's 1533-position model. The record is from RNAcentral.